Molecule: ribosomal RNA, 405 nt
Filed under: uncultured bacterium
Lineage: Bacteria
Description: partial 16S ribosomal RNA
Rfam family: Bacterial small subunit ribosomal RNA
Source: RNAcentral
GACGAACGCUGGCGGCGUGCUUAACACAUGCAAGUCGAGCGGAGCGGCGAACGGGUGAGUAACGCGUGAGUAACUGCCCCCCUCUCUGUGAUAACAGUUGGAAACGGCUGCUAAUACCGGAUAGUGGGGGAUGACUCGCGGCCUAUCAGCUUGUGGGUGGGGUAGUGGCCUACCGAGGCGACGACGGGUAGCCGACCUGAGAGGGCGACCGGUCACAUUGGGCUGAGGUACGGCGCCAGGUCCUACGGGCGGCAACGGUGGGGAAUAUGGGACAAUGGGGGAAACCCGGAUGCGGCAACGCCGCGUGCGGGAUGACGGCGUUGGGGUUGUAAACCGCUUUCAGCCAUGACGCGGUAGUGGCAGAAGAAGCACCGGCUAACUACGUGCCAGCAGCCGCGGUAAUAC